CAACACCAACAGCAUUCCACCCUGCAUCCCACUGCUGCCUUGCUUCUGAAACUAAGCAGGGUUGGUCCUGGUUGGUCCCUGGAUGGGAUACCAGAUGCUGCUGGAAGUGGUGUUGG
Hucho hucho (huchen) is the source of this 116-nucleotide ribosomal RNA. Lineage: Eukaryota; Metazoa; Chordata; Actinopteri; Salmoniformes; Salmonidae. The record is from Ensembl.